UGGCUCUUUGCUUGUGCAACAACUUCCACCUGACAUUCCCAUUCAUUCAUACGUUAUGGCUUUUGACUGCCCAAAUAAUCUGCGGGUUUCUUGUGUUCCCUACCUGUUGUACGGUAUUAUAUUGGCUUAUCUGAUUUCUUAUCGUCUGGUCUUAGAUACUUGUGAGCAUCGGAUGAAUAUUAAAGCUGUCUCUUUGAACCACACAGUUAAUGUGUGUCUUGAUGUAGUGGCUCAUUGAGCGUUGCAAGGUCCCUUACAUAUAGACCCUGAUUUGGGCAUGGAUCUUGUGUGAUCCUUGUCAUGUCCCUGCAAUAAGUAAUAUUUAUUGUCCCUAGUAUGACUGCUUGACACUUUGGCUUGUACCAGCGUGUUGGGUUUUGUCCAAGAGGAAAGUUACCUGGUUGAUCCUGCCAG
Molecule: unclassified non-coding RNA, 414 nt
Filed under: Alomia ageratoides
Lineage: Eukaryota; Viridiplantae; Streptophyta; Magnoliopsida; Asterales; Asteraceae
Description: partial contains external transcribed spacer and 18S ribosomal RNA
Source: RNAcentral